GCUCUCAGUCACCGCCUCGCGGGGGGUGCCUCCUUUCCUUUCUACAUAGACACAGUGACAGUCUGAUCUCUCUUUCUUUUCCCUACAGAUGGACACGCCCCCACUGAUAUUGUUUUUAAUGCAGCGUGGGAGGGGAGGAUAUGACACGCGAUAUCGCAGCUGAGUGCCACGUGCUGACGUCACUAAGAUCAAUACAGCAAACUCUGAAAGAUGGACAGAGAGACAGGAGAUGGUCCUUUAUAAUGCAGUGUGAUCUGUGCUGCAAUAGAGAUGGAAGAGUGUUCUGAUUGGCUGGAAAACAAUGCACAUGGGAAGCUGUACAGAAAUGAGUGGGGAAAGGUAAUACUUAACAGCAACAGCAGUUAAUAUUUAGUGCCCACUUACGACAUGCUGGACACAGUUCCGGGUACUCUGAACAUAUUCGCUCAUUUAAUCUUUACAACAACCCUAUGAGGUAGGUACUAUUAUUAUCCCCAUUUUCAGGUGAGGAAUCUGAGGCACAGAGAGAGUAAGUAUGUUGCCCAGGGCCACGCACCAAGUAUGUGGUAGGUCCUGGAGUUGAAUGCAG
This 568-nucleotide long non-coding RNA is filed under the name Homo sapiens (human). RNAcentral describes it as "HSALNT0352572". Lineage: Eukaryota; Metazoa; Chordata; Mammalia; Primates; Hominidae. The record is from RNAcentral.